Molecule: ribosomal RNA, 479 nt
Filed under: uncultured bacterium
Lineage: Bacteria
Description: bacterial SSU rRNA
Rfam family: Bacterial small subunit ribosomal RNA
Source: RNAcentral
GUUUGAUCAUGGCUCAGAAUCAACGCUGGCGGCGUGCCUCAGACAUGCAAGUCGAACGAUUAAAGCUCUCUUCGGAGAGUGUAUAGAGUGGCGCACGGGUGAGUAAUGUAUAGCUAACCUGCCCUUUAGUGGGGGACAACAGUUGGAAACGACUGCUAAUACCCCAUACUCCUUCUUACUCUAAGGUAAGUCGGGAAAGAUUUAUUGCUAAAGGAUGGGGCUUUAUGGUAUCAGCUAGUUGGUGAGGUAAUGGCUCACCAAGGCGAUGACGCCUACCUGGUCUGAGAGGAUGAUCAGGCACACUGGAACUGAGACACGGUCCAGACUCCUACGGGAGGCAGCAGUGGGGAAUAUUGCACAAUGGAGGAAACUCUGAUGCAGCAACGCCGCGUGGAGGAUGACGCAUUUCGGUGUGUAAACUCCUUUUAUAAGGGAAGAUAAUGACGGUACCUUAUGAAUAAGCACCGGCUAACUCCGUG